AGAGCUCAAAUUUAAAAUCUGGCGUGCCUCUGGUCGUCCGAGUUGUAGUCUGGAGAAGCGUUUUCCGUGUUGGACCGUGUACAAGUCUCUUGGAACAGGGCGUCAUAGAGGGUGAGAAUCCCGUCUUUGACACGGACUACCAAUGCUUUGUGAUGCGCUCUCAAAGAGUCGAGUUGUUUGGGAAUGCAGCUCAAAAUGGGUGGUAAAUUCCAUCUAAAGCUAAAUACAGGCGAGAGACCGAUAGCGAA
RNAcentral lists this ribosomal RNA (248 nucleotides) under Thelephoraceae sp. 1 CRJH-2017. Its description in RNAcentral is "partial 28S ribosomal RNA". It matches the Rfam family "Eukaryotic large subunit ribosomal RNA", at positions 104 to 344 of the family's 3401-position model. Lineage: Eukaryota; Fungi; Basidiomycota; Agaricomycetes; Thelephorales; Thelephoraceae. The record is from RNAcentral.